RNAcentral lists this transfer RNA (84 nucleotides) under Candidatus Woesearchaeota archaeon. RNAcentral describes it as "tRNA-Ser". It matches the Rfam family "tRNA". Rfam says of the family: Transfer RNA (tRNA) molecules are approximately 80 nucleotides in length. Their secondary structure includes four short double-helical elements and three loops (D, anti-codon, and T loops). The record is from RNAcentral. Lineage: Archaea; Nanobdellati; Candidatus Woesearchaeota.
GCCGUGGUCGCAUAACCCGGUAUUGCGCUGGUCUUGAAAACCAGUGUCCGAAAGGACUUCCCAGUUCAAAUCUGGGCCACGGCG